GGAAUUGCCAACAUGGACUUCUGUGAGUGGCUUGCAAGAGGAGUGUUCAGAAUGCUCAGUUAACGGUCCUCAGAAAGAGGUUUGCGCCCGACUCUCACCAUAAAGUGUUACAUUCUUCAGCGACAUGACAAGGAAGUGAACUUGCUAGAUCUGGCAAUACAGAAUCAGUCAGCGGUAAUUUGGAGAUGAAGUUGUUAUCUUCGGCUGCUCUGUUCAAAUUAAUUUUCCACAUUCGCUGUCAACAAAAGUGGAGUGACAGUCCUUGGGAUGCUUUCAAAAUAAUUAGCACCAUCACACAAAAGACAAUAUGAAUUACUGAGGUGGGGGGUGGUAAUACAUAAAUAAAGUGAAUCCUCAGACGCGUUGUGCAACUUGUGUGCCUUCUAAGGUAUAAAUAGUCCAGCUGGAGGAUCUUUCAUGCCAAAAACAUGGUGCUUCAAAGAGGACAUUACAUUAAUUGGAUGUGUCAGCUCUUCUGUGAGCCAUCAUUGAGAGUGCGAACCUUCAGAUCACGGGGUUGAAUAUGUUACACACCACAAUGUGAGAUAGCUCUUAUUAGGGAAGAGUGAGCUAUGAGCAGGACUUAAUGCCAGCAGUUUUUGUCCAGUGAAGUGGUCUUAUCAGUGGUGGAUGGAGCAAUCCAAGCACAAACUGGUUUACAACUGCUAUAAAUGUGAUCAUGGGAGAUGUGUUGACAGGCAUUUAAAAGUAGUAUGCCCAGGACUCUUUGGUUAUGUAAAGUGGACUUAUCUUCUCAGCAGCGUCUCCACCCCCAUCAUUCAGCCCGGACAUAGAUGUCCUCCUCCGAGGUCCUUCUGGUGGUUCUCUCACUGCGAGAAGUGAAGUUACAGGCAACCAGGCAGAGGGCCUUCUCAGUAGUGGCACCUGCCCUGUGGAACGCUCUCCCAUCACAUGUGAAGGAGAAAAAUAACUAUACAACUUUUAGAAGACAACUGAAGGCAGACCUGUAUAGGGAAGUUUUUUAAUGUUUGGUGUUUUAUUAUUUUUAUUAUCUGUUGGAAGCCCCCAGAGUAACUGGGGCAGCCUAGACAGAUAAGCUGGGUAAAAAUACUACUACUACUACUACUACUAUUAAACUGAAGUGCAGGUAUUUGCAUUUGCUCCUAUUGUUUGGUAGCUAACUUACCAUUUACAUUCCUCACUUUCUUCCUUUGUUUCCUGCUCUGUCAAAAUUUACGUAGAUUGUAAGUGUCUCUUGGCAGGGACCUUUUUACAUCAAUAUCUGUCUAAUGAAUUUUACCUGCUUAAGAAUAAUCAAAGGUGCAGCCAAAACCAGCCCUAGGAUCUGUUUCCUGGAUCAAAUCUCAAUGGUCUUUUGCCCAGCUCAGUUCCAUGCUGCUGGGAAAUGCAUCUCCAUGAGUACUCAUUGCUCCCAAUUUCUUUCCCAGAUAUGAUCCAGGUGAUCUGUGUUUUCUGUUUUUCCCUUCUCAGGUAUAACCACCAUGUAGGCACUGUCUGAAAUGGCCUCCAGGCUCAGUCUUUCCCACCAGCCCAGGGGAAAGGGAAAAGCAGCUUUUGACACAUAGCUGAACUGCCUAGCAAUGAUAGCUGCCAUAACACACUCCCCAUCUUGUGGAGAUCCAGAGAGAGGGAUACGGGAAAGUCACAGAAAAACAGCAAAAUAUAACAUCUGGCAACUAGGUGGUGCUGAAAAUCUACCAAUGGGUAAAAAAAUGCAAAAGUUGGGGGAAAAGAAGAAGAAAAACAUUUGCACAAUUGCGAGGUACUGAAUUGGUCGGCAAAUUCUGUCCCAGAAGUGUGAGACCAAAGCUGUAAGACACAGCCAUUUGCUACAAGCAGCUGCCACCACCUCAAAGAUCCUUGAUCUAUAUGAACAACUUUUGAGCAGAACUGGGGCUCUGGUUUUGCUAUUCAUCGUCCUCAUUUUGUGCAGCAGUAUUAGGCUUCCUUUGUGUAAUUUUCUGUGGACUAGCAACUGCCCUAACAUGGCUUGCUUUGUUUCAGCAGGUCUGAGUAUGUCUUAAAAUAAACGAUAUCAAAUCA
Non-coding RNA from Podarcis lilfordi (Lilford's wall lizard), 2025 nucleotides. The record is from the annotation of a GenBank genome assembly. Lineage: Eukaryota; Metazoa; Chordata; Lepidosauria; Squamata; Lacertidae.